RNAcentral lists this ribosomal RNA (238 nucleotides) under uncultured bacterium. Its description in RNAcentral is "partial 16S ribosomal RNA". It matches the Rfam family "Bacterial small subunit ribosomal RNA", at positions 118 to 354 of the family's 1533-position model. The record is from RNAcentral.
UGAGCAACCUGCCUUUCANAGGGGGAUAACAGUUGGAAACGACUGCUAAUACCGCAUAACGCUGCGAUGGGGCAUCCCGAUGCAGCCAAAGGAGCAAUCCGCUGGAAGAUGGGCUCGCGGCCGAUUAGCUAGUUGGUGGGGCAACGGCCUACCAAAGCGACGAUCAGUAGCCGGCCUGAGAGGGCGGACGGCCACACUGGGACUGAGACACGGCCCAGACUCCUACGGAAGGCAGCAG